AAAGAUUUAAGUUAACUAAACUAAGAGCCUUCAAAGUUCUAAAUGGAAGCCAAAUACUACCAAUCUUUG
RNAcentral lists this transfer RNA (69 nucleotides) under Aneides hardii (Sacramento mountain salamander). RNAcentral's name for it is "tRNA-Trp". The record is from RNAcentral. Lineage: Eukaryota; Metazoa; Chordata; Amphibia; Caudata; Plethodontidae.